UGGGGAAUAUUGCACAAUGGGCGCAAGCCUGAUGCAGCCAUGCCGCGUGUGUGAAGAAGGCCUUCGGGUUGUAAAGCACUUUCAGCGGGGAGGAAGGCGAUAAGGUUAAUAACCUUGUCGAUUGACGUUACCCGCAGAAGAAGCACCGGCUAACUCCGUGCCAGCAGCCGCGGUAAUACGGAGGGUGCAAGCGUUAAUCGGAAUUACUGGGCGUAAAGCGCACGCAGGCGGUCUGUCAAGUCGGAUGUGAAAUCCCCGGGCUCAACCUGGGAACUGCAUUCGAAACUGGCAGGCUAGAGUCUUGUAGAGGGGGGUGGAAUUCCAGGUGUAGCGGUGAAAUGCGUAGAGAUCUGGAGGAAUACCGGUGGCGAAGGCGGCCCCCUGGACAAAGACUGACGCUCAGGUGCGAAAGCGUGGGGAGCAGACAGGAUUAGAUACCCUGGUAGUCCACGCUGUAAACGAUGUCGAUUUGGAGGUUGUGCCCUUGAGGCGUGGCUUCCGGAGCUAACGCGUUAAAUCGACCGCCUGGGGAGUACGGCCGCAAGGUUA
Molecule: ribosomal RNA, 549 nt
Filed under: uncultured bacterium
Lineage: Bacteria
Description: bacterial SSU rRNA
Rfam family: Bacterial small subunit ribosomal RNA
Source: RNAcentral